GGGCGGGGCGAGGUCGCUCGGAGCCGCCUACGCCGGAUGCACAGCCGGCCUUCUUCGCGCCCACGUACCCACGUGAGCGCCCAGCCGGCGACAUUCUUACUCCCACUCCUCCUUCCCCUCUGAGCGGAGAGCGGAGUUUCACAACCACGCACAGGUACACAAAGACACAGAGAAGCACACCGACGGGCACACGCGCCUAAACAACUACCCGGUCGCCUGCUGCCCACACUCGGGCUUCGCGGUGCUAUACGUGUGAAUGUUAGGAGUGAGCCAGGAAAAGUUGGGAGACUGGGGUGCGCGGCUCCUCUCGUGGGUGCUUCUGACUCCCGUAGAGUGUGCACUUAGGACAGAUCUGUGAAGGUGGAGCUCUGCAGGAAUCCCUCACAGAUCCUCGCACUCUUCCCAAACCACGUCGAAGUUCGGGGAACAGAAAUGGGCGGGGUUUGCCAUAACCUGCUGCUUAGACGCGCGUCUAUUAGUCGCGCUGGGUUGUUAGUGCUUAGGUCAGGCAAGGAUGGGAGGGGUAUCCUGCCUUCUUCCGCUAGUAGCAUCCUAUUUGCUGAGAAUGGGGACCUACCUCUGGGGAAUUCUGUGUGGCAACUUUGGGAGGAGGAUACCCCUUCUAGGGACGUCUGUGAAGGAAGAGAAACAAUAUCCUGGGUCUCAAUUUUCCAAAAACACAGGAAAAGAUUGUGAAGAAAGUGGGUGGAAGAGGAGUGCGGAUAUUGCUAACCAGAAGGAUUGUCAUUCCUAGGCAGGAGUAGAUUUUCAUCUAGCAGAUUGCACUGCUCACCGCACCCACCCCUACCCCCCAACAAGUUUUCACCAGGCCAAAUACAGCAAGAUUUGGCUCAAAUGUCACCUGCCUGGUCCCUCGCCUUCCUGCACCUCCGCCAGGAAGAAUUAAUUUCUUCCAUCCUUCAGUAGCCUCAUGGCUCUUGGUACGCAUUUCGACUAUAGUUGCUGGUUUCAUCUUCAGCCUGGGGUCUUUCCUGGUCUGGUAUCUGGUGGACCCUCUGAAGUGACUGAGUUGAUGAUGCUGUUUCCAGGCUGGAGCAGCUUUGAAAAGGGUAAUUGACACAGAUUUUACUCCAGAGGAGGCUGAACCUGGGCAGAACUGUUCAAGUGGAGACCAUUGUUUUCCAUGUCUCCAUGCUUUUUUUUUUUUUUUUUUUAAUUUUGGAAAUGUUUUUUUAUUUUUAUUUUAUUUUUUGCUUUUUAAGGGCACACCCGAGAGAUAUGGAGGUUCUCAGACUAGGGGUCUAAUCGGAGCUACAGCUGUCGGUCUACACCACAGCCACAGCAACGCAGGAUCCGAGCCACAUCUGUGACUGACCUACACCACAGCUCACAGCAGUGCCGGAUCCUUAGCCCACUGAGCGAGGCAGGGAUCGAACCCACAACCUCAUGGUUCCCAGUCGGAUUCGUUUGUGCUGCGCCACGAUGGAAACUCCCUGAAAGUGUUUUUUAUUAAAGUAUAGUUGAUUUACAAUGUUCUGUCAUCCUGCCUUCUUAAAGUUUCCAGCGAGUCUCACAAGUCUGACUCCUUGGCCUUCUAAAAUGUCUACAAUUUUGGUAAAUUAAUUCAUACCCAGUUGCUAGAGGGAAAAGUCUGAAAUCCUCUCUGGUAACAGAAAAAUAUGAAUAUAAAUUAAUGAUCAUCCUUUUUUACUCUUUCAUUAACAUAUUAGAAUUGUAGUCUAAGGAGUAUUGCUCUUCAAUUUAGUAAUUUUACCAGAGAUGCUUCACCUCCCAAAAGACAAAUAAUCCUAACUUCUACCUUUAAGGAACUCGUAGACUAAUAGGGGAGAUAAAUACAUAUACAAUUACAGUGCAGUGCAAAAAUGGGGAUAGAGCCAAUGACAGAAGUGUAGGGGGGGCAAGGGAUGUCUUUCCCUUGGGGUUGUGAAGGACUGGUUUAUACAGGCAUCCAAAGGAGGUGAUGAUGCAGCCUAGGAAUUUGAAAUAUAAAUAAAUUUCCAGGAGGAAGGGUCA
RNAcentral lists this long non-coding RNA (1995 nucleotides) under Sus scrofa (pig). Its description in RNAcentral is "lncRNA (ENSSSCG00025016665.1)". The record is from RNAcentral. Lineage: Eukaryota; Metazoa; Chordata; Mammalia; Artiodactyla; Suidae.